This 993-nucleotide ribosomal RNA is filed under the name uncultured archaeon. RNAcentral describes it as "bacterial SSU rRNA". It matches the Rfam family "Archaeal small subunit ribosomal RNA", at positions 1 to 999 of the family's 1478-position model. The record is from RNAcentral.
UUCCGGUUGAUCCCGCCGGAGGUCACUGCUAUCGGGGUUCGAUUAAGCCAUGCGAGUCGAGAGGGUUCGGCCCUCGGCGUACUGCUCAGUAACACGUGGAUAACCUGCCCUAGGGAAGGGGAUAACCCCGGGAAACUGGGGAUAAUACCCUAUAGGUUACAGAUGCUGGAAUGCCCUGUAACCCAAAGUUCCGACGCCCUAGGAUGGAUCUGCGGCCGAUUAGGUUGUUGUUGGGGUAAUGGCCCAACAAGCCCGUAAUCGGUACGGGUUGUGGGAGCAAGAGCCCGGAGUUGGAUUCUGAGACACGAAUCCAGGCCCUACGGGGCGCAGCAGGCGCGAAAACUUUACAAUGCGGGAAACCGUGAUAAGGGAACACCGAGUGCCAGCAUCAUAUGCUGGCUGUCCAGAUGUGUAAACUACAUCUGUUAGCAAGGGCCGGGCAAGACCGGUGCCAGCCGCCGCGGUAACACCGGCGGCCUGAGUGGUGACCGUUAUUAUUGGGUCUAAAGGGUCCGUAGCCGGUUUGGUCAGUCCUCCGGGAAAUCUGAUAGCUUAACUGUUAGGCUUUCGGGGGAUACUGCCAGGCUUGGAACCGGGAGAGGUAAGAGGUACUACAGGGGUAGGAGUGAAAUCUUGUAAUCCCUGUGAGACCACCUGUGGCGAAGGCGUCUUACCAGAACGGGUUCGACGGUGAGGGACGAAAGCUGGGGGCACGAACCGGAUUAGAUACCCGGGUAGUCCCAGCCGUAAACUAUGCUCGCUAGGUGUCAGGCAUGGCGCGACCGUGUCUGGUGCCGCAGGGAAGCCGUGAAGCGAGCCACCUGGGAAGUACGGCCGCAAGGCUGAAACUUAAAGGAAUUGGCGGGGGAGCACAACAACGGGUGGAGCCUGCGGUUUAAUUGGACUCAACGCCGGACAACUCACCGGGGACGACAGCAAUAUGUAGGCCAGGCUGAAGACCUUGCCUGAAUCGCUGAGAGGAGGUGCAUGGCC